GCCGGGAUAGCUCAGUUGGUAGAGCAGACGACUGACCAUCCUCGUGUCACCAGUACAAA
Molecule: transfer RNA, 59 nt
Filed under: Asterella lateralis
Lineage: Eukaryota; Viridiplantae; Streptophyta; Marchantiopsida; Marchantiales; Aytoniaceae
Description: partial tRNA-Phe
Source: RNAcentral